This 28-nucleotide small RNA is filed under the name Arabidopsis thaliana (thale cress). Its description in RNAcentral is "ATSL144970". Lineage: Eukaryota; Viridiplantae; Streptophyta; Magnoliopsida; Brassicales; Brassicaceae. The record is from RNAcentral.
AACGGAGUUACAAAGCGGAAGAACCUUU